RNAcentral lists this non-coding RNA (21 nucleotides) under Caenorhabditis elegans. The record is from RNAcentral. Lineage: Eukaryota; Metazoa; Nematoda; Chromadorea; Rhabditida; Rhabditidae.
UACGCAUGGUUUAUAUGCACA